GAAUUAAAUUUAAAGUCUAACCUGCCCACUGAAAUAAUUAAAUGGCCGCAGUAUUCUAACUGUGCAAAGGUAGCAUAAUCAUUAGUCUUUUAAUUAAAGGCUGGAAUGAAUGGUUGGACGAAAUAUAAACUGUUUCAUUUAAUAUUUUAUUAGAAUUUUAUUUUUUAGUCAAAAAGCUAAAAUUUAUUUAAAAGACGAGAAGACCCUAUAAAUCUUUAUAUUUUGUUUGUUUUAAUUUUUAAGAUUAAUUUUAUUAUAAUUUUUUAAAAUAUUUUAUUGGGGUGAUAUUAAAAUUUAAUAACUUUUAAUUUUAUUAAGUAUUAAUUUAUGAAUAAUUCAUCCAUUAAUAAUGAUUAAAAAUUUAAGUUACUUUAGGGAUAACAGCGUAAUUUUUUUGGAGAGUUUAUAUCGAUAAAAAAGAUUGCGACCUCGAUGUUGGAUUAAGAUAUAAUUUUGGGUGUAGCCGUUCAAAUUUUAAGUCUGUUCGACUUUUAAAUUCUUACAUGAUCUGAGUUCCAACCGGAGUAAGCCAGGUUGGUUUCUAUCUUUAAAAUUUUAUAAUAUUUUAGUACGAAAGGACCAAAUAUUAAAAUAAUUAUAUUUUUAAAAAAGAAAAAUAUUAUUAAUCUAAAUACUAUUUUGGCAGAUUAGUGCAAUAAAUUUAGAAUUUAUUUAUGGAAUUUAUAUUACAAAUAGUACUUGUUUUUUAUAGAAUUAUAAUUAUCAUUUAUUGGGAGUUUAUUAUUAAUUAUUUGUGUUUUAGUAAGUGUAGCUUUUUUAACAUUAUUAGAACGAAAAGUUUUAGGGUAUAUUCAAAUUCGUAAAGGUCCUAAU
RNAcentral lists this ribosomal RNA (834 nucleotides) under Hirtodrosophila pictiventris. RNAcentral's name for it is "partial 16S ribosomal RNA". The stretch from base 1 to 572 matches the Rfam family "Bacterial large subunit ribosomal RNA", at positions 1836 to 2925 of the family's 2925-position model. Lineage: Eukaryota; Metazoa; Arthropoda; Insecta; Diptera; Drosophilidae. The record is from RNAcentral.